RNAcentral lists this unclassified non-coding RNA (245 nucleotides) under uncultured fungus. Its description in RNAcentral is "partial contains 5.8S rRNA and ITS2". The stretch from base 1 to 52 matches the Rfam family "5.8S ribosomal RNA", at positions 103 to 154 of the family's 154-position model. RNAcentral also lists the same sequence under 2 other names. The record is from RNAcentral. Lineage: Eukaryota; Fungi.
AACGCACAUUGCGCCCGCCAGUAUUCUGGCGGGCAUGCCUGUUCGAGCGUCAUUUCAACCCUCAAGCUCAGCUUGGUGUUGGGACUCGCGGUAACCCGCGUUCCCCAAAUCGAUUGGCGGUCACGUCGAGCUUCCAUAGCGUAGUAAUCAUACACCUCGUUACUGGUAAUCGUCGCGGCCACGCCGUUAAACCCCAACUUCUGAAUGUUGACCUCGGAUCAGGUAGGAAUACCCGCUGAACUUAA